UGUUAUGGCCACACCAUCCUGAACACACCUGAUCUCAUCUGAUCUUAGAACCUAAGGAGACUUGGGCCUGGAAGAAGCAACGUCAUGGAUGUCCAGGAGCUCACGA
Ribosomal RNA from Cercocebus atys (sooty mangabey), 106 nucleotides. The record is from Ensembl. Lineage: Eukaryota; Metazoa; Chordata; Mammalia; Primates; Cercopithecidae.